Capsicum annuum is the source of this 2765-nucleotide long non-coding RNA. RefSeq lists it as uncharacterized. The transcript has 3 exons. The record is from RefSeq and is a predicted model, not a curated record. Lineage: Eukaryota; Viridiplantae; Streptophyta; Magnoliopsida; Solanales; Solanaceae.
UAUGAGUUAGCUUUACCUCCAUACUUUGCCGUUGUUCAUCUAGUUUUUCAUGUAUCCAUGCUGCAGAAGUAUAUUCCUAACUUAUACCAUGUGCUAACAUGGGACUCAGUCCAGUUAGAUGAGCAAUUAGGUUUUGUAGAGGAGCCCAUGCUUAUUUUGGCUAGUGAUGUGAGGCCGCUGUGUUCUAGAGAGAUAUUUGUAGCUAAGGUUCAAUGGAGGUACUGCGCAUUAGAGGAGGACACUUAGGAGUCAGAGGGAAAGAUACGAGCCCAAUAUCCUCACCUAUUGGAGACUUUAGGUAUUUCCUUAUCUUUAACUUUCAGGGAUGAAAGUUUCUUAGUAGUGGAUGACGUAAUGACCCUUCAGGACAUUAGCCGUAUUCUUGCUUAUCUUCACCGAUAGAACUUCUCCAUAGCCAUCCCAAGUCAUUAGUGACUUACUGGAAUUGAUAGUUUGGUUACCUAAUGGGUCAUUUGGUUUUUAGAACCACUUUUCCAAUUUGAAGUCUUCAUUGAUUCAAAAUGGCUGCCAAGCAAAAACUUUAUUAAAAUAAUUUUUGAUUCAAAUUUUGACAACACCAGCAGCUAUGUAAUAUCAAUUUUAGGGUAGGUAGACCCUUGGUUCGGAUCCCAUAGUACCCGAGCUAAUUUCGACCUAUUAGUCAAAAAGAUAAAAAUUAAAAUAUAUGAGUGUGGGACCCAAAAGUGGCCUAACUGACCUCAAAUGGAAAAUCCAACUUCACCAAUGCAUCCGAAAUAUUUAAUUUAGUGGGUUUACAUAGUUCAUUUGCAAAAAACAAAGUCCGAAUGAGUUUGGUAGGUCAAAAACAAGUUUUGACCCUGCGGGCUAAUUUAAACUCGUAUAAAAAGGCCCUUUGGCUGAUUUUUGCGACAUUUUCAGCAUUUUGAAAACCCUAGCAGCCAUACAUGCUUUUUUACAAAAAAAUAUGAGUCUUGUGGGUUGAUUAGAAGCUUAGCAAAUUGUGUAAUCCAAUUUUUUUCUACAAAUCUAAGGUAAGAUUCUUUCAAAUUUGAUAUUAAUUUCUUGAUUACUAGACGAAAAAACCCUAAGUCUUUGAGGCUAAAUUGUAUCCACAAAUGUGAUUGCUUUACUCAAAUUUCUUGAGGGUUUUAGCUCCCUAAUGAUAUUUAGACUAUGUGUUGGUCUCGGAAACUCAUUUUCCAAAGGUGGACCCACUUGGGGUUUGAUGUCAUUUUGAAACCCAUGGCACCAUGGUGCUAUAAUGGGCAUUGUCAUUCUUGUUGUAAUGAUUAGAUUUUAUUGUUAAUAUCAUUGCUUGUGGAAGAAAAAGCUUCUCGAAAAGGAAAGGAAAAGCUCGUUGGCUCCUGAGUUGCUUAGAUUCAAGGUAGGUUAGGCUUACCUAUAGUCUAGAGUAAGCUUGUUUGUAAUAUAAUCAUUGAUACCUUGAGAGAUCAGGUGGAGAAUUUAGAUGAUAGUUGAUUAAAUGGUCAACUUGGGAUUUAUUAAUUGCUAUAGGCCAUGGAUUUAUAAGGUAUGAUAUUUGACCCUUAGUCUAGGACCUUGGUUAGUUUAAUUGUGGUCUCAUGACUAGGGUGAGAAUACUAUAGUUGAUCCAAGUAGACAUGAAUGUUAUACUUCUCUAUCCUUAGGUGUGUAUUAACCUAUAUAAUGCCUAGACAGGAGAUGACCUUGGUGUUGGGUUAACUUAGAAAGGAUUCUUGAAGAGACUUUCCCUAUAGACCUAUAAAGGAUUAGUAAUCCUUUAUGGUGAGGUAUGGAUGACUUAGCCUAAUUCCAUGUAGAAGCUAUACAUGUGUUACUAAGCUUGGUAUUCUCGGGAUUUAAAAGUGGGACUUGACCCACCUUAAGCUUGAACUAAGUAAAUGCUUAGAAACCUAGAUACAUGGUGAUUGUCCAAGCUAUAUAUGUGUGUGUGUGUGUGUGUAGAAGUUGUGAUGGCUGCACUCGAUCAUUGGAUUUUUUUGUGAUCAUGACUUGAAUACCCUUGUUAAGUGAUUAUUGUGCAUGUUUGGUAAAUACUCAUGCUCUUGUUGAUGCUCACAUUACAUGUGAAGCUUAUUAGUAAGGUAAAAUGGCAAGUGUUUCCCACAUCCCUACUUAUUUAUAUAUUGUGAGCUUUUUUGUAUGCUUAUUAGUUUGGCUAUUGAUGUGGAUGUAUGUUGGUGUAUUUGGAGAAAUAUGUGAUAUUAUGAUGAUGCCCGGUGAAUCUAGAGGAAUAUGUGAUAGUAUGAUGAUGCUCGCUUCGAGUUCGGAGGAAUAUGUGAUAUUAUAAUGAUGCCCAGUUUGAGUCCAGAGGAAUAAGUAAUAUUAUGAUGAUGCAUGGUCAAUCCGGAGGAAUAUGCAAUAUUAUUAUGAUGCCCGAUUCGAAUCUAGAGGAAUGUGUGAUAUUAUGAUGAUGCACAAUGAAUUCGGAGGAAUAUAUUGAUAUUGUGAUGAUGCCCGGUGAAUCCGUAAGAGUGGUAUGGGACGCUGUGAUGAGUUCUUUGUUGUGCUCUCUUUCGUGUACUUCUCAGCGGUAUGGGAGGUCGUGACCCGAGUUUUAGCUGCCGUCAUUGAGUUGAGAUUAUGCCGUGUUGAUCAUCAAGAUAUAGGGAAAGCUCUUGGAGUUCAAGUUACCCUCUUUUCCUUCUAUCUUUACUUGUCUUUUGUAUUCGAGACAAUUGUAUAAGACUAUUUAAGUUGCCAGACUUUGAAUUGUAAUUUCUGUUGUCAGAUUUAGAGUUGCUCUUCUACUUAUACUAUCAGGUCAUGGAAUUGGCAUU